Antechinus flavipes (yellow-footed antechinus) is the source of this 107-nucleotide small nuclear RNA. The record is from RefSeq and is a predicted model, not a curated record. Lineage: Eukaryota; Metazoa; Chordata; Mammalia; Dasyuromorphia; Dasyuridae.
GUCCUCACUUUGUCAGUAUAUAUACAAAAAUUAGAAUGAUACAGAAAAGAUUAUCGUGGCUCCUGUGCAAGGGUGACGCACAAAUACAUGAAACCAAAGAUGCUAAA